UCUCGCAUGCGCGCUCUUGAUGCUCACUCUAGAUUCCGGGAGAUUUUAUCUAAUUUGCGGGCGUCAGGAUGCCGCUAUCAAUAUGCGGGAGACUCCCGGAACUUCCGGGAGACUUGGGAUGUCUGAGAUUGAUAGGCAUAGAUAGAAGCUAACUUAUGAUUUGUUAUGCAAGACAGAAAAUGUAACGGUUAACAUUACUAGCCUAAGGUGUAUACAUUCUAUGCACUGUGAUUUAGCUAGCUAGCUGCUAUUGUUGCAUCAUGGACAACACUUAGAGCUAACAUUAGCUUUUUUUUUUUAGAUAGGAUGUAAUGUGGUAACGUUAGGCUCCUAUGUGCUGGGGAGUAUUAGAGUGGACGUGUAGGAAUUGAAGACACAAGUACUGUGCUUAAUUUCAUGGAAAUGGUAUUGGAAAGAGGCAACACUCGAAAGCUACAUCAAGGACACCGGAGGAUGGACCAGAAGACCUGAGACCAAGACGACCCAAGCCCAACCCAUAGUAUGCUUCACUGACAAAUGUUGAUGCUUCAUCAUCACAUAGACCAAAGGUUUCAGAGAAGGCUGGUAGAGCUCUCUAUGAGUGUGAGCUGUGGGAGAUAACCAAGAACUGACAACCACCUACAGAAGAGGUGGCGAAAAUGGCUCUCCAAGAGGAGGUUGUGAGUCUGAAGGCUUUUAAUGAAAUAGCAGCUUCUUGGUUGUACAAGUUUAGUAAACAUUUGAGGAUGAAACUAACUUUUCCUUUCAGUGUGUAUCUGUGUGCUUCUCUCUUCUGUGUAUAUGAUAUAUUAGUUGUGUUGUCUCAUUUAAAAGUGUUAGGCUGUCUGUG
This is a long non-coding RNA of Alosa alosa (allis shad), 829 nucleotides long. RefSeq lists it as uncharacterized. The record is from RefSeq and is a predicted model, not a curated record. The transcript is spliced from 3 exons. NCBI's taxonomy places the organism in Eukaryota, Metazoa, Chordata, Actinopteri, Clupeiformes, Clupeidae.